Molecule: non-coding RNA, 73 nt
Organism: Cynoglossus semilaevis (tongue sole)
Lineage: Eukaryota; Metazoa; Chordata; Actinopteri; Pleuronectiformes; Cynoglossidae
Source: the annotation of a RefSeq genome assembly
GGUUCCAUAGUGUAGCGGUUAGCACACCUGCCUUGAAAGCAGAGAGUCCUGGCUUCGAUUCCCAGAGGAACCA